Molecule: ribosomal RNA, 253 nt
Filed under: uncultured bacterium
Lineage: Bacteria
Description: partial 16S ribosomal RNA
Rfam family: Bacterial small subunit ribosomal RNA
Source: RNAcentral
UACGUAGGGGGCAAGCGUUGUCCGGAAUCAUUGGGCGUAAAGCGUGUGUAGGCGGGCCGUUAAGUGCCCCGUGAAAUCCCCCGGCUCAACCGGGGAACGGCGGGGCAUACUGGCGGCCUUGAGGCACCCAGGGGCGAGCGGAACAGGCGGUGGAGCGGUGAAAUGCGUAGAUAUCGCUUGGAACGCCGACGGUGAAAACAGCUCGCUGGGGGUGUGCUGACGCUGAGACACGAAAGCCAGGGGAGCGAACGGG